RNAcentral lists this ribosomal RNA (478 nucleotides) under uncultured organism. RNAcentral's name for it is "partial 16S ribosomal RNA". It matches the Rfam family "Bacterial small subunit ribosomal RNA", at positions 332 to 801 of the family's 1533-position model. The record is from RNAcentral.
UACACUCCUGCGGGAGGCAGCAGUGGGGAAUUUUGGACAAUGGGGGCAACCCUGAUCCAGCAAUGCCGCGUGAGUGAAGAAGGCCUUCGGGUUGUAAAGCUCUUUUGUCAGGGAAGAAACGGUGGUGGCGAAUAACUACUACUAAUGACGGUACCUGAAGAAUAAGCACCGGCUAACUACGUGCCAGCAGCCGCGGUAAUACGUAGGGUGCAAGCGUUAAUCGGAAUUACUGGGCGUAAAGCGUGCGCAGGCGGUUGUGUAAGUCAGAUGUGAAAUCCCCGGGCUCAACCUGGGAAUUGCAUUUGAGACUGCACGGCUAGAGUGUGUCAGAGGGGGGUAGAAUUCCACGUGUAGCAGUGAAAUGCGUAGAUAUGUGGAGGAAUACCGAUGGCGAAGGCAGCCCCCUGGGAUAACACUGACGCUCAUGCACGAAAGCGUGGGGAGCAAACAGGAUUAGAUACCCGAGUAGUCCCAUGAU